RNAcentral lists this long non-coding RNA (509 nucleotides) under Homo sapiens (human). RNAcentral's name for it is "non-protein coding lnc-MS4A6A-1:2". Lineage: Eukaryota; Metazoa; Chordata; Mammalia; Primates; Hominidae. The record is from RNAcentral.
AUUCCGAAGGGUUCUGUGCUAGGAACCUUACACGUGUUGUCUCACAUAAUCCUUAAAACUCAGAAAUGAUUUUAAAUUAAAUAGCACAGAGAGGAAAACUGACUGGAGAGGGAGCCUUUGCUUAGGUAGGCAACUUUAACUGGUUUAUUAGCACAUUCCCCUGAAGGGAAAGGGGGUGUGAUUGCUCCUGAAGAGACCAAAGAGACUGGGCUCCUUUUUAAUCAAAGCUCAGGAGGAGAGCUGCAUUCCACUGUUUCACAGAUGCUGUGAGGGUGACAAAGAUGCAGGGCACCCACUGGAAACACAGACGGCACUCUGCGAAAGAGGAAGGGGCGCCAGGAGCUUGGAUUAGAAAACUGAAGCUUCAAGAACAGACUUGCCUAACAACAGGAAACUUGUAUGUCUCGAAGUGGCAAUUCACACAUAAGGCUCCAUGACUCCUGAACUCUCACAAAUAUUAGUUGGCUCUUUUCAUGGUUUUACUGAAGUUGCUAGAAGUUUACAGAAAA